Molecule: ribosomal RNA, 163 nt
Filed under: uncultured bacterium
Lineage: Bacteria
Description: partial 16S ribosomal RNA
Rfam family: Bacterial small subunit ribosomal RNA
Source: RNAcentral
GACGUGGGCGAAGCCUGAUCCAGCCAUGCCGCGUGGUGUGAAGAAGGUCUUCGGAUUGUAAAGCACUUUAAGUUGGGAGGAAGGGCAUUAACCUAAUACGUUAGUGUUUUGACGUUACCGACAGAAUAAGCACCGGCUAACUCUGUGCCAGCAGCCGCGGUAA